Molecule: ribosomal RNA, 551 nt
Filed under: uncultured bacterium
Lineage: Bacteria
Description: partial 16S ribosomal RNA
Rfam family: Bacterial small subunit ribosomal RNA
Source: RNAcentral
UGGGGGAAUAUUGGACAAUGGGCGCAAGCCUGAUCCAGCAAUGCCGCGUGUGUGAAGAAGGCCUUCGGGUUGUAAAGCGCUUUUAUCAGGAGCGAAACGCUGUCGGCUAAUACCCGGCGGAACUGACGGUACCUGAGGAAUAAGCACCGGCUAACUUCGUGCCAGCAGCCGCGGUAAUACGAAGGGUGCAAGCGUUAAUCGGAAUUACUGGGCGUAAAGCGUGCGUAGGCGGUUUCUUAAGUCUGCUGUGAAAUCCCCGGGCUCAACCUGGGAAUGGCAGUGGAUACUGGGAGGCUAGAGUGUGUCAGAGGGUGGUGGAAUUCCCGGUGUAGCGGUGAAAUGCGUAGAGAUCGGGAGGAACAUCAGUGGCGAAGGCGGCCACCUGGGACAACACUGACGCUGAGGCACGAAAGCGUGGGGAGCAAACAGGAUUAGAUACCCUGGUAGUCCACGCCCUAAAGCGAUGCGAACUGGAUGUUGGUCUCAACUCGGAGAUCAGUGUCGAAGCUAACGCGUUAAGUUCGCCGCCUGGGGAGUACGGUCGCAAGACU